CUUCUCCUGGCAUUAGCGAACCAGGUGGAGACUUGUGUGAGGGUCAUUUUGGUGAUGAUGGCAAGCAUGAUCUUCUCUCCUUUAGUCGGCUGGAAGACUGCCUGCAAGAAACGAAUCUGCCUACACUGACAGCUCGAUUGAGGCACCAGGAUCCUUCUCUCCUGUUCUCUCUUGGUUACUAUGGUUGUAAGGAAGGAAAGCUCCUACUGCCUUGUCUUUGAGGACUUUCUCCAGGAUGCUCCCAGGGCUUUUAAAACUCUUUGCAACCUUGCCUUGUAAAGGGUUGGGGGAGUCGGCGUCUUUCCUGGCAAGCAAUGGCGGUAAUGCAGAUACACAAUUGCAAGGACACCAGUCACAGAGAAUACACAGAGACAAAUACACUCACACCAGGGACAGGAGCCAAUUAACUUACCAGUGUAUCUCUGGACUUUGGGAGGAUAAUGGAACAACUGGAGUAAGCCCACACAAACAAUGGAAGAAAAUACAGAUUCCACACCCAUCAGUUCCAGAAUUAAACCCAUUUAAAGUGCCAUGGAAUUUAAAGACCAAGUAGUCAAGACCUUGGUACUCUGAAUAUCUCCACUGAAUGAUUGCACCUCCAACACCAACAGCACAAGUUGUGCAUUUGGAAUUUACUGUUGGUAAAGUAAUUUGCAAUUAAAUCAAAGAAAAGUGCAUUAUACAACUAAACAAUUAGUUGUUUGAAUGAUAAAGACCAUUUAAUGUAUAAUUUCCUUUGAUAAUAACAUAGCAUUUCAAUCUUUUAUCACAUGCAUAUGUACACAAUUGGCCUUAUGAUCAAAAUUCACCUCAAUUGAUUAUUGUGGGAAUUGAACCAUCUAAGUAUAUUAAAUGGUCUAUAAAGGUCAAAGUAUGUAAGCAUCUGCCAUGUAGGAAUAUCCUUGGAACACAGGAUUUGAGCACCUUAGUUACCUGUGCAGUGGAGCAGGCCACAAACGCAAUUUUAACAUUUGCAUACCAAGAAAAUAUAUAUUUCAAAUUAGACAAGGAAGGAAAUAUUUAAUUUUUAGAUAUGUUUACUAUGAAAUAUCUUCUUGGCUAUAACAUACUGUACUUUGCUGUUAUCACUGUUAAAUUAUUGUGACACAUACAGUGUGUGGGUCUUUAAAAAUUGAAUAAUCUCAAAAGAACCAAAUGAUCCACAUUAGAAUAGCCUCCUUCAAUUUGCAUUAUGUUUUUAAAUGGAAUAAGUUCUCUUGAACUUCAUGCAGGUCACUAAUCAGUUAAUUUUGGAAGUACGGUCCAACAGAUCUUGUCAACUUAAUAGUCUUCUCCAGGAGACUAUAUUACUAAUGAUCAAUAGAGGAAAAAGUACAGUAUAUGGUUAAGUUAAAGUAUCUGACACAAAUCUCAACAGCAGUUAAUGAUGCUAGCCUACUGUGUAAUGGUCUUUUGCAGAAUUGUGGUCAACAACCCCAAAAAUGUUCUGUUUUUUAAAUAUAAUUCAGUGCCAUGAUAUCACAAGGACAUUCAGGAUCAUGUAGAAUGUCAGUAUGAUGUGUUCAAAAUGAUUUUCUUUUUCUUACCAGAUGGAUUUAAAGGUCUUUUAAAUAUGAAAAAGCUUAAUUAUUUAUCAAAAUGUGAACAAUGCAUGACAUGGGGAGGCAAAUCUAAAUGUAUUUCAUAAAAAUGCAGAAUACACCUGCAUACAGUAGUUAUCUGACUUUUCCAUUAGGAAUACCAUAGAUAAGCAUGGAACAUACAAGCUAUUCUUUCAUAAGCAAAUGGAAGUGCAUAUUUUGUCAUAAAGCAAUAACAUUUUAAAUACCAAAAAGAAUGAGCAUUUUUAAGGUAGACUUUCACUCAAUAUUUCUCUAGUACAAGCGCAUUACAUUUACAGUCCCACUGUGUUAUAAGUUGUUCUUAUGUUUUUCUUUUCUACUUUGUUCUUGGAAUGUAAGAUGGGGUUCUGAAUCUCUGAAAUAUUUACAAAAAAUAUGAUCACUUUAAUAAACAAUGCAUCAGAGUGUGAUGUACUGUACUCUGUUGUGAAAUAAAUCUCAAAUUCUGGGGCCCUGGGUUCAAUUCUGCACAUAGGGUGCUAUCUGUGUGGAGUUUUUUAUGUUCCUUCUGUGUUGGGAGGAGCAGGUGCUCUUGUUUUUUCCCACAUCCAAAAACAUUCUGGUAGGUUAACUGGUUUAUGGGAAGAAUGGCCCUAGAUGUAAAUGUGUGGAGGUCUGUGUUUGUGUCUCUGUGUACGCCCUGUGAUGGUCUGGUGUCCCAUCCAGGGUGUGUCCUGUGUUGUGCCUUUAUCCUCUGGUUCAUCACUACCUUCUUGCAACUAAGCAGUUACUGAAAAUGGAGGGACGCAAUGAGAAAUAAGGAACUGGGGUUUACUAGUUUAGUUUGAAAAAAAUUGAAUUAACCAUUCUAACAUUAAUUGAUUUUGAUAACCGUUAUUGUGGAAAAUAAGUAUAUAAU
This is a long non-coding RNA of Lepisosteus oculatus (spotted gar), 2442 nucleotides long. RefSeq lists it as uncharacterized. The record is from RefSeq and is a predicted model, not a curated record. NCBI's taxonomy places the organism in Eukaryota, Metazoa, Chordata, Actinopteri, Semionotiformes, Lepisosteidae.